GGGGAUAUAGCUCAGUUGGUAGAGUGCUUGUCAUGCAUACACAAGGCCCUGAGUUCAAUUCUCAACACCACCA
RNAcentral lists this transfer RNA (73 nucleotides) under Ictidomys tridecemlineatus (thirteen-lined ground squirrel). Its description in RNAcentral is "Spermophilus tridecemlineatus (thirteen-lined ground squirrel) tRNA". It matches the Rfam family "tRNA". Rfam says of the family: Transfer RNA (tRNA) molecules are approximately 80 nucleotides in length. Their secondary structure includes four short double-helical elements and three loops (D, anti-codon, and T loops). Lineage: Eukaryota; Metazoa; Chordata; Mammalia; Rodentia; Sciuridae. The record is from Rfam by way of RNAcentral.